This 253-nucleotide ribosomal RNA is filed under the name uncultured bacterium. Its description in RNAcentral is "partial 16S ribosomal RNA". It matches the Rfam family "Bacterial small subunit ribosomal RNA", at positions 524 to 776 of the family's 1533-position model. The record is from RNAcentral.
UACGAAGGGGGCUAGCGUUGCUCGGAAUCACUGGGCGUAAAGCGCCCGUAGGCGGACUCUUAAGUCGGCGGUGAAAUCCUGGAGCUCAACUCCAGAACUGCCUUCGAUACUGAGAGUCUCGAGUCCGAGAGAGGUGAGUGGAACUGCGAGUGUAGAGGUGAAAUUCGUAGAUAUUCGCAAGAACACCAGUGGCGAAGGCGGCUCACUGGCUCGGUACUGACGCUGAGGAGCGAAAGCGUGGGGAGCAAACAGG